RNAcentral lists this transfer RNA (74 nucleotides) under Corynebacterium frankenforstense. RNAcentral describes it as "tRNA-Leu". It matches the Rfam family "tRNA". From Rfam's summary of the family: Transfer RNA (tRNA) molecules are approximately 80 nucleotides in length. Their secondary structure includes four short double-helical elements and three loops (D, anti-codon, and T loops). Lineage: Bacteria; Bacillati; Actinomycetota; Actinomycetes; Mycobacteriales; Corynebacteriaceae. The record is from RNAcentral. RNAcentral also lists the same sequence under 2 other names.
GCCCCCAUGGCCCAAUUGGCAGAGGCAACGGACUUAAAAUCCGUGAGUUCUGGGUUCGACUCCCAGUGGGGGCA